Siniperca chuatsi (mandarin fish) is the source of this 10562-nucleotide RNA transcript. It is a transcript of the gene named nuclear receptor coactivator 2-like, with no coding region annotated. The transcript is spliced from 23 exons. Lineage: Eukaryota; Metazoa; Chordata; Actinopteri; Centrarchiformes; Sinipercidae. The record is from RefSeq and is a predicted model, not a curated record.
AUCUCUCAUUAAGAUCACUGUAAAUUACACAGAAUAGUAAGUGAAAUAGCACUGAAAUAAAAACACUAAAAAAGAGGAUACAGUCAUUGUUGACUAUUGAGAACAACAUACGCUGUAGAAGUCACUAUAGGAAUAUUUAUAUUUUAUUUACUUUUAUGUAAGGCAGUAAGACUAAACAUGCUACUACACCUUAAAGCUUUCCACAAACAAAACCAAAUGACACAUCAUAGUGUGGCCUAAAAGUGAAUCAGUUUCCAAAUCAUAUUGAUUUUAUUUCAAAUUAUUCCUCCAAACUGUCACAAAUAAAAACAAUAUUGUAGUUCAGCUUGCCUGGGCUAAAGAGCUGUUUGUGUGUACUGGUGUAUGUGAGGUGGAGAGAGAGAGAAUGGUAGAGAGACAGCCAGCUCUGCAGUGGGGGGUCUGCUGGUAAAGAUAAACAGCCGAGGAGCCUCUGAGCCAGAGGAACAUGGCGGCUCCGGUCCUGGACGCCGCUGACGCUCCGUCCCGCUGACCGACAACACCGAGGGACACAUCCCGCACAGCACGCACCCAUGGCUUCUCAACUCUCAGGUGCUGAUAUUUGCUGAAGAUGAGUAGUGGGGGUGGAAACACCCCAGAGCCCCCCAGAGGGGGAGAAUCUCUGAAGAGGAAGGACUGUCAGUCAGACCUCCUGGGGCCCAGUCCUAAGAGGAGUACUGAGAGGAGGAACCGGGAGCAGGAGAACAAGUACAUAGAGGAGCUGGCCGAGCUGAUCUUCGCCAACAUCAACGACAUGGACGACCUCAACGUCAAGCCGGACAAAUGUGCCAUCCUCAAAGAGACGGUGAAGCAGAUCAGACAGAUCAAGGAGCAGGAAAAAGCUCCAGUGGCUGAUGCAGAGGAAGUGCAGAAGGCCGACGUCUCCUCCACAGGACAGGGUGUUAUUGAUAAAGACGCCCUUGGGCCCAUGAUGCUGGAGGCCCUGGACGGCUUCUUUUUUGUGGUCAACAUGGAGGGCAACAUAGUGUUUGUCUCGGAGAACGUCAGCCAGUAUCUACUUUACCAGCAGGAGGAGCUGAUGAGCACCAGUGUAUACAGCGUGCUGCAUGUUGGAGAUCACGCCGAAUUCGUCAAGAACCUCCUGCCCAAGAGCGUGGUCAAUCAUCGCAGCAGUGAUUCGUCCAACAGGAACAGCCACACCUUCAACUGUCGUAUGUUGGUCAACCCUUAUGCCGACGGUGAAGCCCGGCUGGCGUCUGACCAGCAGGACCUAUCACAGCAGAAGUACGAGACCAUGCAGUGUUUUGCUGUCUCCGAACCCAAGUCUAUCAAGGAAGAGGGGGAAGAUUUCCAGUCAUGUCUCAUCUGUGUGGCAAGAAGAGUCCCCGUCAAAGAGAGACCUGUGAUGCCCACGUACGAGAGCUUCACCACUCGACAGGACCUUCAAGGUAAGAUCACGUCCCUGGACACCAGUCUGCUGCGUGCAUCCAUGAAGCCGGGCUGGGAGGACCUGGUUCGACGUUGCAUUCAGAGGUUUCACCUGCAGAAUGACGGGGAGAUAUCCUUCGCCAAGAAACACCAGCAAGACGUGUUGAGGAACGGCAAUGCGCUCAGCCCUCUGUACAGAUUCUCCCUGGCAGACGGCACCAUCGUCUCAGCUCACACCAAGAGCAAGCUCGUCCGAUCCACAGCCACCAACGAACCACAGCUCUACAUGUCCCUGCACAUCCUGCACAGGGAGAACAUGGCUGGCAUGACCACAGACAUACCUGGCAGCCAGGGCAUGGCCAAGCCAAUGACCCCAACCAAUGUGGGUGGUCCCUCCCCUUCGCCUGAUGCCAGUGUCACCAGCAACACCCACCACUCCACAUCUGCCUCCGGUGCCCCUGGACGUGGUUUUGGGGCUGUAUCCGGUCGGGCGCCCACACCUCAGGGAAACAGCCAUGCACUCAAGCUGGGCAGCCCUUCAGCCCAGGGAAGCCUCAGCGUCACCUCAGGGGCCCAGGGUGCCAUGUUGUCUCCUCGUCAUCGCCAGAGCCCAAGUAUGGCAGCUAGCAGCAGCAGCUGUAGUAGCCCUCACCUCCCCCAACAUCCCCCUGGUUCUUUCUCUCCUGCAGCUGGCCUCCACUCGCCAGCAUCCGUAUGCAGCAGUAUGGGAAAUGGCCAAGGGUUCAACUCCCUUAGUGCGUUGCAGGCCCUCAGCCAGGGCCACAGGGUUUCCCAGGGACUCACCGAGGGGCAGCAUCCAGAGUCACCUGACAGAAAGCCGAUUGGCCUUCAGAGUCCUCUUCACAGCAGCAGCAACGGUAACCAACAAGCCAAGAACAAUCUCAGCUUAGAGACUGACUUAUUUGGAACUUUUGGGGAGCAGCAAGACUUGUUUUCAUCACAAAACCAGGAGUGUGAGCAGGGAGAGACUAAAGACGGUGACUCUGAAAGCUUUAGAGGUGAUGGAAGCUUAGGGGAGCUCGGCGACGCCCCAAAUCGCCUUCUGAACACAAAGGGGCACACUAAGCUGCUCCAGCUUCUCACCACCAAAUUAGAACCUUCUGAUCCCUGCUCAUCACCGCCUCUGGGGGACGACCAGGACUGUAAGGACCAGCUGGGUGGGAUCGGGGGUGUGGGUGGGGCUGGGCACAACAACCACUCCACCUCGUUGAAGGAGAAACACAAAAUUCUCCACAGGUUGCUGCAAAACAGCACAUCACCCGUGGAGUUGGCCAAGCUAACGGCUGAGGCUACUGGGAAAGACCCAAUUGGUCCAGAAUCAGCUGCAGGGGACAACAUGGCCGCUCUAGGUGAACUCUGCACAAAACAGGAGCCAGGGAGCCCCAAAAAGAAGGACAAUGCUUUGCUUCGCUAUCUGUUGGAUAGGGAUGAUAACGGCAUCCUGGAUAAAGCCAUCAAGAUGGAACCUGGUGAUGGAUCAAAGCUGUCCAACAUUAAGACAGAGAAACAGGAAGCAGGUUUCAACAUGGCGGACCAGACCAGUGAGUUGGAGGACCUGCUGGAGGACCUGCAGAGUGGCGGCCAGCAGCAGCUAUACGUGGGCCAGCCCCCAGUCAGAAGACCAGCCUCCUCUUCGACCUCCUCUUCCUCUGUGCUGGCUGGUUCCUCUGUGGACAAACAGACCAUCAUCAGCAACAUCCUGCAGAUGACAGACAGCAGCAGCAGCCCCCCCAACCAGCACAGAGCCUUCCCUCCCGUCAGCCCUGCAACAGGCUUUAAUGGUGCCAGGCUGGGCCAACCAGGUCGAGGUGCUCCUCCAGUCAGAAGCACGUCUCUGGAAAGCAGUAUGGGCCCCAACCCCAACCCCAACGCUGGCAGGCCAUUUCCUCCUCAGCACAGGAACAAUGGCCCCUACUCCGUACUGCAGCAGCAACAGCAGCAAGGCAUGAUGGGAACCCACGCAGGCAUGGCCAAUCAGGCUGCAAUGGCCAAUCCAGGCAUGCUGAGUAACGGGUCAAUGCGGGGCUCCAUGCAGCAGGGCUGGGGUCCCCAGAGGCCGAUAGUGGAAACUGCGGGGAUGAUGAUGGACCAGGGGGUUGGACCUGGUUGCAUGGUCUCCAACAUGAACACUGUGCUGCCCACGAGAGGCCCACCUGGAUCCAGAACCAUGGUCAACAUACAGAUGAUGGGCAACGAGAUGCAGAUGGCAAACCCAACCUACCCUCAGCAACAAGCUCCGCCCAAUCAGACUGCACCGUGGCCAGACCGAAUGAUAACUAUGGAUCACUAUGGAAACCAAAGCAGGCCACCGUACGGUGUCCCCCAGGGGGACAGGAUGGGUUGUUGCAGCACUGGGCCCGAGGGUCAGCCAGAUGAAGGAGCCCUGCUAUUCCAGCUGUGCUCGGUGUUGAAGGACUAUGAGGGUCUGGAGGAGAUCGACAAGAUGUUGGGAAUCCCAACGCUGGCUGGACAGGGUCCUCUGUCAGACCAGGACCAGUACCUCAGCUCCUCGGACCCAGCGACCAGCAUGAAGCCGCACUUGUACAAUCAACACUACGGUGGCCAGCCAGGUUAUGGUGCCAUGCCUCCUGAUGGUGGGUUCCACAGCCCCUCUAUGGGCGGCCACAUGGGGCAACAGAGGAUGCCGCCUGCUGGUUACCCCCCAAUGAUGAGGAUGCCUGGGAGCGUGGGGCCCAGACCGGCCGGGAUGAGGCCAGGGGGGCCUAAUCCAGGAGUGCUAUCACAGCCCAACAACCUGAGGCUCCAGCUGCAGCACAGACUCCAGGUCCAGCCAAACCGUCAGCCAGUGGUGAACCAGAUGAGUGGGGUGUCCAACAUGAAUCUACCUCUAAGGUCUAAUGUACCAAACCAGGGAACCCUCAACGCUCAGAUGCUGGCCCAGCGUCAGCGCGAGUACCUCAGCAACCACCUACGCCAACGGCAACAGCAGCAGCAACAACACGUGCACCAGCAGCGUGCCAUGAUGAUGCGGACUCAGGGCAUCAACAUGCCGCCUAACAUGCCCAGCGGGGGCGCUGCUCCCACGCCGAUGCCCAUAGGUGGCACCAACCCACGGCUCCCGCAGGGCAACCCGCCGCAGUUCCCCUACCCGGCCUCCAGCUACGGUACCGGCCUGCCCUCUCCUCCUCCACCUCCUCCUCCUCAUCCCGGCUCCUCCAGCCCCUUCUCCUCCCCUCACUCCCCCAGCCAUUAUCUGGCUAACCAGGGCAUGAUGGGAAAUGUAGGGGGGCAGUACAGCGGGGUAAUGAGUCCGCCAUCGCAGCACAGUGCCUUCCAGUUCAGCAGUUCAGGAAUGAUCCAGCAACAGCAACACCAGGACCCAGUGGCAGGCUUUCCAUGUGGGGCUGCGACCCCGCAGAGCCCCCUGCUGUCCCCCAGGAUGGGGCAGGGUCAAAGCCCCAUGCUGCAGCAGAACCAGGGCCAAACCCAGCCCCAGGGUCCGACCCAGGGAGGAGCACCGGCCUACCAGGCAAGCACCGACCUCAAUGGAUGGCCCCAACCUGCCAACAUCUCCACCAGCAACAGUGUGUACCCCCAACAGUCCCAGUCACAGUACUCCACACAGCCCAGCGGAGGAAUGUACAACAGCAACAACAACGUGAACCUGAGAGUCAUGGCCAGCAACAUGAACCAGAUGUCAGGACAGAUGAGCUCCAUGACCUCCAUGAAUACAGAACAGGUGAGUGACAGCAGCCUGAUCCUGGGGCAGCUGGCGGGAAUUGACAUGUUGACACAAGAUGGUGAAGCCAGUUCUUCUGCACAUGGAGACACUUGAGGACAAUCCUAUAAGAGUAUAGGAAAUAGAAUGGGAAACAACAGUGAAUAAAUUUCUGCUGACUGUGGUUGAGACAAGGUAACACAGGAGCCCAUGCAAAAACACUGACGCCUACUCAGCUCAGCUCAUGGAGAAGCAUCAAGGAGUUGAGGACACAUGAUGGAAACACUGCUCCCUCUGUCACACCAGCCAACUCAGAGGCACUGUACAGAGAGGACAACCAAGACAUGUAAAACCUUCUGAACUGCAUUCACUUCAGUGUGGCUUGCUUCACAUUGAUUUAACACUUUAUGCAAAAAAAGUCAGAAUUCAUAGGGAAACUGCCAUCUGAACCAUCCUGACAACAAAUGCACAAUAGGAGAAUACAAUAAUCACAAAAAGAAUAUUGUGUCACUGCUGUUUCAGGGUUUUGUGGGAAACCUUGUAUUUUACUUUCAUCCAUCUAAUUAAACAAUACACGUUAUAUAUAUCUGUAUACCUAAAACCUGGUAUUCAAACAAUCAAAUUAAGGCUGCGCCAAAAACACAAUUACCAGUACCUAUACUGUAACAGUGCGCCUGAUAAAUUCAACACAAUCUACAUUUCCACUGAAUAAUUUUCAUUGGCACAACAUAAUCAGGCUCUAUACUCCCCACUCUGUUGUUCUGAGUUUCCCUUUUUGACAGAAAUGCUGUUUUCACUCACUGAUUGAAGUUCAAUCCACUCUACUUUGCGGUGCUUUCUUGAUGUGAAGCUGCUGUUAAUGAAACUCAACACUUCCAGAAGAUGUUUUACGAUAAAGAUCUUUCAAGAAAGGGAAGGAUUUUGCCCCCUGAGCUGUUCGGAAGGCUCAGUCACAGGAAGUGUUGAGUUUUCAUUAAAAGGACACAGCGGCAAUAGCAAACUAAUUUGGCAAAUGGGAGCAGAACAGAAAACAGGGACGCGUCUUUAGGUAAAUAAAGGCCCUGUCCACUAUUUGAGAAUUUACGGUAAAGUAUACAAAUAUUGUACACUACUACACACAUCCUCAGACAUGUACACUGUAAACACCAGAUCUUUGUCAAAUAGUCAGGCUAAUCACCAUUUUAAUGUUGAACCACAUAGAAUCAAAUACAGUGAAUAAAAGAGAGUUAAAAGGUGUUCUGUGUAGCAUUUUAACAUUUAAAAAUAAGAACCACAUUUACUUCUUACAACCAGGUUUUCCCUUAAAUUAAAACCCCCUUAAGUAGCUUUCAAAUGGAGCUAGAAAAUUAAUUUUCCUAAAAUUCAGCUUCAUGUAUCUGGUACAGCAUCUUUGAGAACUUCGGGAUCUCCUCUAGAAUAUAAAUAUAAUUUAUGUGGGUUUAAACAGGGCUUGCCUUUGCAACAUCAGUUUGUAAUCAUGGACACACAAGUGGUUCCAGCAAGGUUAAAGUUAGUUAUGUGCUCUGGUCAGAUGAAUGUAUUCCUAAAGUUUUCCCACUGAAAACACACAACUGUAAUCCUCUCAAGUCUCUGAAGCAGUGGAUUUGUGAUGAGGCACAUUUUUUUUGUGAGUGUGAAACUCAAACAAAGGAUGUCACAGUUUGACACUGGAGAACUGAAUGGUUGACAAACAUAAAUGAAACCUCUGGAUUUUAUCUUUUAUGGUUCUAUUUUAGAGCCUGACUGAAAACGUCAAAUGAGAAGGUUUAUGAGAAAUAUUUUUCAAGUAUUUAUAGUUUUGAAGAAGUUUUAGAGAUUCUUUGUAUGACACAAAAAAUCAAGGAUAUCUUUCUGUAAGAGAAUCUCAAAAUCGUACAUUUUGAUGUCGAUUUUAAAAUUAAUAUAUUUCAACUGCUGUAGUUACAGGGGAGCUGUAUCCCUAUGUAAUGACUUUUUGAAUGAAGGUGAAUGUGUAUAGAUAAUGUACAUACUUAGAUUUAUAAUAGGGUUUUUUUCCUAUGUGGUAUUGCAAAGCAGCAGUUUGGAGAUUUAGUCCAACAAACACUUAUCAGAGAGCAGAAAUAUUGGUUAAAUUAAACCUCAGUGGGUGGAGCUAAAGAGCCACAAGACAACAAGAGUGCAAGUCAAUUAAUUGGCUUACUCGAAUGGCAAAGAAGGCACUCUGGUCAAAAUGUAAACAGAAUGUUUAAUUACUAUGUACUUAUUUUUCCCAUAAAUGGCUUUCCUUGCUAGAAAUCAGCUAGCUAUUGCAAUUUUCCAAUAGUUAUUUUGAAUUUGAAAGUUCAGCUAAGCUAACUAGCUAAUCUAGUAUCAGUAGCUUGAAGCUUUUUUGGAAAUAUCUUGACACCUAUUGGAUAGAUUGCCAUGAAAUUUGGUACAGAUAUUCAUAAUUCCCCUACUUGAAAUGUAAUACCUUUGAUUCCCCUAACUUUUCAUCUAGCACCAUCAUCAGGUCAAGAUUUUAAUUUGUCCAAUACUUUGAUUUAUGACCAAAAGCUGCAAAACUACUGACAUUCCCAUCAGCCUCAGCUGUACUGUUUACUGCUCAUUAGCAAAUGUUAGCAUGCUAACAGGUUAAACUAGAUGGUGAACAUGGUAAACAUUAUACCUGCUAAACAUCAGCGUGUUACUGACUUUCAGUCCGCCCACUGAGAUUUAGCCAAUGAAAUUAUCUCUGCCUCCAAAGCAGCUUUGCCUCUAAAAAAAUGUGUGUAUAACUAAUAAAACUCCAUGCUACUGCGAUUCAUUUUAAAAUUACAUUUACUGGCCUGCGGGGGUUGCUCUUGCAUUUCAGGCAUUUAGCUGAAGCUCUCUGUCAUGCUGACAAUUCAAAAGUGUGUCAUUUGUUGCGUUGGGUCAUUCUGUGGGUGAAGCUUUGAUUGAUAGUCUCUACCUACUCUAUGUGAUGAAUACAAAUUCAAGUUUUGCGCCAAGGAUAAAGUCUGACCUGGUCCCUAUAAACAGAUUAAUAAUGCUAAAUUAGAGAGCAUGUGACCCAGAACCUUUACAAUCCAAUGUUAUAUGGACUUUUACAGACUGAACCUCUAGCGUUUUGGGAAUAGCUUCAUCAAAUCAAUUUGAAAGGUGCUCUCUUUAUUCAUUAGGUGCUGUCUCAUAUGCUGUGAGCUUGUAAGUGUGAAAAAACUGACUGUAACUGGCAACGUGGAUUUCUUGAAUCCCUCUUUCUCUACUUCAGAAGGUCCAGAAAUCUGUUAAGCACAUACUGUAACAAUGACGUAAGAUUACUUUUCUGCCCAAAAGAAGAAUGUGAAAAUGCAAACUGACUGCAAAAUGAAACACUGCAAAGAAUUGUAAACGUUUUUUUAGAACAUUUUGCGUUGAUCCCAUUUUUCCUUCAUGUCCUUUCAGCUUUCAGUACAGUGAAUUAUACUCGUGUACUAUCAUCAGGGGAGAAAAUGUAAGCCGUGGAAAUCUCCUGAAUGUCAAACUCUCUGCAAAGGUUUAAUGCAAUCAAGAGCGAAUGUAAAUGCUCAUGUACAGCAACUCCUAAUGUUUUAGAAGAAGGUGAAUUAUUUUCUCUUGAUUUUGACUGAUACAAUAUACAUAUAUAUUGAAGACUUUACCUAAUUCAUAGAUGUAUAUUUUAUCAAUUGCAAAAUACUGUAAUUCAUGUAAGUACCUUAAUGCUAAAGACAAAGCAUAAUGCCUUAGAUCUGUGACUCUGUCUGGUAUAUAACUGUAAAGUUUACAGGUGUAUUAUAUGUGUCACAUACUGCUGAGCGUGUGUUGUACCACUUCAUACUGUAGGUGUAAUAAUUAGACGACUAGGAUUUUUAUAUUUCCUCCCAAGAAGUGACAUUGAACAACCUGUGUAUCAACUCAUGGAAAUUACAAUAAGACUGUGUUAGCAUUUGUAAUCAAAGUGCAUAAAUUGAAAAUUAUUUAAUUUGUAGUUACACUGUAUUGUUGCACUGUUAGUGCACAGUGCACCAGGGAGAUUCUCCCUCACUAACGCAGUGUGUGUUUUGUUUGUUUGUUUUUUAAAGGGGCAUUAAUCUUUGACCUUUGCUGACUUCUGUUAGUGUCCAUUAGGGACUGCAGCAACAUCAGUGUAUCUCUAGAUGGCAUUUGAACAUUUUGAGUUAUGGCGGCCUGUAAAUGACAUUAAUAACAUAGUCAGAAAUGCAAGUUGUGAUCUAGCCCUAACGCAGCACCGUACUACUACUAAACUUAAGCGCGCAUUUCUGACCCUAAAUACUUGUAAACUUCAAUGUUGGACAAAAUUUGAAAAUGCAAAAUCAGUCCGCCGAAGUACAGCUUCUCUUUGACAGCUGAGGAGAUUUCACAUCGAAAGCAGUUGUGUCUACAGCUGCACAUCAUUUUGAAUUUUUCGGUUUCAGUAACAAUACCAAAAGAUUUUUUUCAAUAAUGUUGUUCUCCAAAACACUUUUUUCAUUUAACAAAAGAAACUAAAAGUUCUCAAAAGUUAGAUGUUGUAACCAUAGAAAGACUUAUAAGACUAAAGACUAAAUAAAAAGGUCUAAAAUAGUCCAAACUUUAAACAAAAACAUGUCUUACACUGAUUUAAUUCACAUGAAAAAAAGAAAUUAUUAUAUUAAAUAGAAGGAAUAAAAACUAAGAUAACAUAUAUUUUCUUCUUUGUUCACCAACUGGAGUGGCGUGACUGAGCUGUUUAUGUUAUAUUUCACUUAGUCAAUAUUGUUCACAUUUUAUUUUUGACAAUUUUCCUCUCAAUUUCCUAUUUAAAGCCACUACGUGUAGAUUUUUUAAAAUGAUAAGAGCAUCUUAAAAUUAUUUCCAUCGCAUAAAGUCUUGUUUGAAGACAAAUGCAACAAUCCUUGCAACAAUGGUGCAGUAAAUGCGUUGCUUUUAGUCCAUUUAUCUGUGUCUCUGGGUUGGGGUGUCUUUUGUGAUUCUACCACUGGAUGGCGCCAAAGUCAGAAAUGUUCUAAUCCUACACAGUGGCUUUAAGACCAUGCUGGUGAUACUGAUCUGCAUAAAACAACAAUGCAAUUAAAAAUGAUUUUCCAAUAUUGUUGCAUCAUUACUGCGUCAGGGCCAGCAGUUAUCAGGAUUUUUAAAGCCGAGCUGCAACAGAAACUUCCAGCGCUGAGCAAAUAUGUCACAAUGCUUUUUGUAGCCUGACAGGGAAACUUUUAGCCUUUGUAGCCGAAAUGUCUCAUUCUACAACAGUGGGCAGGGAGUUAUUGUUUAAAACAACUAGUGCAGGUCAUAUUUAGAUUUAAAGCGACAGAAAUCUCAGAAACUCAUAUUAAAUAUCUCAGCGGUGACAGUCCAGUACAUACAGUUUAUUCAGAGUGUGAGUGUUUUAUUAUGCAAAAGUCCAGAUGUUCACACCACUUUAUGCAAGCUGUCGACUCUAAUGUUGCUUUUGCCAAUGCUGCUCGUUAAUUUAUGAUUCAUGCCACUGUAAAUAAAUAAUUUUUAUUGA